Molecule: long non-coding RNA, 1711 nt
Filed under: Triticum aestivum (bread wheat)
Lineage: Eukaryota; Viridiplantae; Streptophyta; Magnoliopsida; Poales; Poaceae
Description: long non-coding RNA (TAES_LNC012328)
Source: RNAcentral
GAACACAUAGCAGUCUGCACUACACACUUGACAUACAUGCAAAGGUGAAAAUUUCCCUUUUCUUGGUGCUUCUAAUUAUUGAUCUCUCAUGGUUAGGAUAAUAAGUAUGUACUUUGUGAUGCUUUUGUUUUGAUACAGUUUGCAUUAUAUAUUAUAGUUAUAUUUUGUCAGAUGACAUUUGUUUUGUUUCUGAUUAGAGCUUGCUGUGUCCAUGUAUAAAUAUUUUUCGGAACGUACUAUGACAUUUUCUGUGCCACGACACAUUUGGUUUAAUUUUUUCAGAGGAAAUAGGUGUAUAUAUCAUGACAACCAUUUUCUAAGCAUGUUUGUGAAAAUUACGUUUAUGCUGCUGAAUUUUACUAACCUUGCCGGUAAUGCAUCUGUGCAUGAUCUUAAUUGUUUGAAUAUUCUCAUUCAACAUGAAUGGGUGGCCUCACAACCAAUAUAUAGUUGUACCCCAGUGGAACAACUUCAUGUUAAACUGACGUACCAAUCUGGCAUAUUGGCCCAUCUGUACGUGGGAGGUUUUUUGGUGAUAUGAUCAUGCAGGUUAACCAUCCAUGCAAUUGAAGUGACACGUCUAGAUAUUUGGGGAAAAGCUGUUGUAUAUUCCCCGCAUCUGCUUUUCAUUGUCAUAGCUACUUUGCUACCUCCCUGCAAUCUGUAUAAGUUGUGCGGUCUGAUGCUUUGAGUGAGAACACGCCUGAUAUGAUUUACUUCUUUCUGCUCUGAAUUAACAAGAUGCUCAGUAACAUUGUCUUGAAAAAUAAUGGUUGCGAAUGUGGAUGUCAGAUUGUUUCAAGGAUUUGAUUAUGGUAGUUUUACCUAUGACAAUAACAAAAUAUAAAAGACGCACACACACACACGAGUACUACUGAAUUAUGUUUUUCUAUAGGUCAUCAGAUAUGUUUGUGGAGGCUUUGGCUAGCAAAUUUGUUAAUUUUUGCACAUAGUAUCCAAUUAGGUUUGCCAGAUUUAUUUUUUCAUUCUAUUAGUUGCAGGCCUCAUAUGAUAACUUGCUUUCCUUUUGCCCGCAGGAUCUUCACUAAGAUAUAUCGAGCAGAGCUCAUCACAACAUCCUGUGAUGUUCUCAACCAUGUUAUCCUUCACGAUAAACAUAUUUUGAGGGAGACAAGAGAGCAUCCAAGCACGACCAUGUUGAUCUUGAUGUCUUGCUGCAGUACAAGCGGCUGUUGUCCCUUGAUCCAGGUAUGAUUUCUGAAGAUUAUUUCACUAAUUAGCUAUACCCAGUGUAUAUCUGGCACGUCCACUUCUAAAUGAACAAGAUAUUUCAAGGUGAUGCAUCUUGUCGUGGUCUUUGUCUGUGCUAUCCGUCUUCCUCAUUUGUGCUAAUUUGAUUACUCUUUUUUGAAGGCUGCAUCGUCGGGUUUCUCAUAACAUGUUGGUAGAUUUUAUCUAUUGUCUUCUUAAGAAAUAGAUCGACCCAAAACAUUGUUCAUAUUUACAUGUUGAUUAUUUUCGUAGAUUUAUGAUCCAAAUACAUGACCCAGUACAAGAUUACGAGCUUGGAGUCGUCCUUCUUGUUUGGGAGGGCAGAUUUGGUACUAAACACUUAAUUGGUGUUGAUAGACUUGUACUGUGAAAAAUAAUGGUAAUAUGAACAGACUGAUAGUGGUACACAUAGGGUGACAAGGAGUUAUUAUUUUCAUUCCUAUAUGCAACUUUUCUGGCACUAACCAAUAGUAUUGUG